AUAUAAUACAACCUGCUAAGUGUCCUAGCACUUAUCAGGUUGUAUUAUCAUU
Molecule: microRNA precursor, 52 nt
Organism: Erinaceus europaeus (western European hedgehog)
Lineage: Eukaryota; Metazoa; Chordata; Mammalia; Eulipotyphla; Erinaceidae
Gene: MIR374B
Product: microRNA 374b
Source: Ensembl